GAUAAAGGAAGCGGCACCAAGGCCCAUCCUGGCAAAGGCAAGGCCCACGCCUCACUUCCUGAGGUGCAGAUGGAACAUGGACAGAGAUGAAGACUUGUCCAGGGGCCAGUCUUAGUGCUGGACCAGGAAGGACGGUCAUGACGACCUGUCUCCACUGCAGCUUCCAGGCCUCGCCUUUGCUUGUUUUCUGGGAGCCUCUGUGUCUACCCACAAUGGCAUGGCUCCUUCAGCCACCAGAAUUCUUGGCUCAAUGUGUGGGCUGCAUAGCUUGUUUCCAUGGUCACUCACUGAACCAGAACAACCACAAAUCAAGCCGGAAGUGCACGAUAACCCACUGAACUCUGCACAGCCUCAAUGGGGCUUUCUCUGAGCAAAUAAACACCACUCCCAACCCGUGCAGCUGGGAAGUGUCCAGUGUGCUUCCAACACAGCUUCAGGCCAGUGACUGCCAUAGUUUGAGAAGGAAAGACAGAAGCAAUCUGGCAGGCUCACAGAGCUACAGGCAAGUCUGUCUGAGCAUUUAUGGGGGUUAAAAAUAUGUACAUUCAGAAUUUUACUGAGAUGGCACUAGGAACUUCUAACACAUAGUUAUGUGGAGGCAGAAAAUGAAACUUGAACUCCCCUCUUGGGAUUUCAGAUGUCUUGUGCUGCUGUAGACUCCAGGCAGGGCGGCAGCCAAGAAGUAUUCAUGGGCUCAUAAAUAUAACAAUAUUAGAACAAUAACAACAACAACAAAAAAAUCCUACUGAUUAGGCCCAGAUUGGCCAUUCCAUAAAUCAAUGCCAAAUGAGAACUUUUAAAUUGUGAAUCAGUGUGUCCCAGAUCUCUAACUUGCUAGGGGAGAUCACAGAAAAAAAUUGGAGUUUUUCCAGGAUCUUUCUUUACACCCCCUUCUCCCCAGUGGCUCUGCUCCUUAGCAUGUUCACCUGGGAAAGUCUCUCUCAUGGUUCCCUGGUUUGGCUAGCGUCUCAGAGUAGGAAACAAGAGGCCGUCCUUCAUCCUGUUGUGUUUCCGCACAGGACCCAUCCACAGUUCUGCCCUACCUCCCUGAUUCGGUCCAUCUGUGGCAGAGAGGUGAUGGCAUGCCUUUGCCAGCUGUGCUCCAAAGACAGGAAGAUCCAGAUGUCCUCCCUGGGUAGGCACAUGGAGUUGGAAGUUUCUACAAAGUCCAGAGCCUCGGAAAGAAAGACAGGCACAGCUGGGCCAUCACAGCUGAACCAAGAAGAAAC
Molecule: long non-coding RNA, 1229 nt
Filed under: Cricetulus griseus (Chinese hamster)
Lineage: Eukaryota; Metazoa; Chordata; Mammalia; Rodentia; Cricetidae
Description: lncRNA (ENSCGRG00000026549.1)
Source: RNAcentral